UACGGAAGGGGCUAGCGUUGUUCGGAAUUAAUGGGCGUAAAGAGCGCGUAGGCGGCUUACCAAGUUGGGGGUGAAAUCCCGGAGCUCAACUCCGGAACUGCCUUCAAAACUGGUAGGCUCGAGUCCGGAAGGGGGGCGUGGAAUUCCCAGUGUAGAGGUGAAAUUCGUAGAUAUUGGGAAGAACACCGGUGGCGAAGGCGGCGCUCUGGUCCGGUACUGACGCUGAGGCGCGAAAGCGUGGGGAGCAAACAGG
This 253-nucleotide ribosomal RNA is filed under the name uncultured bacterium. Its description in RNAcentral is "partial 16S ribosomal RNA". It matches the Rfam family "Bacterial small subunit ribosomal RNA", at positions 524 to 776 of the family's 1533-position model. The record is from RNAcentral.